AAGCUGAUGAAGCAUGGGACCGACAGGGGGAGAACCUCGGUUGAGCAUCACAUCAGAGCACCAGCCAAGAGAAAAAGAAAGAUUAUCGGUGAGUGUAGCAUUGAUGCCCGAAGCCAAAACCUCAUCGUUCUCGAACCCCACCUCGAAACAACCGACCUAAAUCCCCUGCAACACCUUACCGAUCUAGGACUCCCCCACGAAGAUUUCAUUAUUUCAUUCUGCUGAAUACCCCCCAAGCCCAAAUUCUCAUGGAGAUAGAGCGGCGAUGCAUAUCGUAGCACAUCAAAAUUAAUCCUACUUAUUUAAUAUGUAGAUAGAAUGAAUCGAGAUCGUAUCCACAA
RNAcentral lists this long non-coding RNA (341 nucleotides) under Elaeis guineensis (African oil palm). RNAcentral describes it as "long non-coding RNA (EGUI_LNC042310)". Lineage: Eukaryota; Viridiplantae; Streptophyta; Magnoliopsida; Arecales; Arecaceae. The record is from RNAcentral.